Molecule: ribosomal RNA, 497 nt
Filed under: uncultured bacterium
Lineage: Bacteria
Description: partial 16S ribosomal RNA
Rfam family: Bacterial small subunit ribosomal RNA
Source: RNAcentral
GAUGAACGCUGGCGGCGUGCCUAAUACAUGCAAGUCGAGCGAACAGACGAGGAGCUUGCUCCUCUGACGUUAGCGGCGGACGGGUGAGUAACACGUGGAUAACCUACCUAUAAGACUGGGAUAACUUCGGGAAACCGAAGCUAAUACCGGAUAAUAUAUUGAACCGCAUGGUUCAAUAGUGAAAGACGGUUUUGCUGUCACUUAUAGAUGGAUCCGCGCCGCAUUAGCUAGUUGGUAAGGUAACGGCUUACCAAGGCAACGAUGCGUAGCCGACCUGAGAGGGUGAUCGGCCACACUGGAACUGAGACACGGUCCAGACUCCUACGGGAGGCAGCAGUAGGGAAUCUUCCGCAAUGGGCGAAAGCCUGACGGAGCAACGCCGCGUGAGUGAUGAAGGUCUUCGGAUCGUAAAACUCUGUUAUUAGGGAAGAACAAAUGUGUAAGUAACUAUGCACGUCUUGACGGUACCUAAUCAGAAAGCCACGGCUAACUACGUG